RNAcentral lists this non-coding RNA (143 nucleotides) under human gut metagenome. RNAcentral describes it as "glmS glucosamine-6-phosphate activated ribozyme". It matches the Rfam family "glmS glucosamine-6-phosphate activated ribozyme aptamer", at positions 9 to 158 of the family's 167-position model. Rfam says of the family: This entry contains a glucosamine-6-phosphate activated ribozyme that is found in the mRNA for GlmS. GlmS is an enzyme that uses fructose-6-phosphate and glutamine to generate glucosamine-6-phosphate. The record is from RNAcentral.
CAUACAGCGCCAGACCGGAUUCCGCAUAUGGUUAACGAGGUGGAAAGUGAUCGAGUUUUUCGGCGGGUGCUUUCCCGGCUUUGGGCAGGUCGUAAAAUCGUAUACAAAGCAUUUGGGCAACCGAAUGUACAAAAAUGCGGUUA